CUUGACAACAAAACAAAAACCGAAAGUAUCCCUCAACAUCACUACAACUUAACUAAAACUUAACAGAGAAACAUCAUUCCUACAACUGAACUAAAAUUGAAAGCAUCCAUCAUCAUCAUCAUCAUCAUCAUCAUCAUCAUCAUCAUCAGUAUAUUUGCCACGCGCCCAUAUAAUCAUCCAUUUAUCUUUUGAACCUACAAACAAAAAACAAAAUGAACUGUUAACACACAAUGCAUUAACAAAAAACAAAAAACUGAAUGACUUUUUGUGGUAAUGUAAGUGUAAUUAGAGAAUGUGUAAUACAUUUUGAACAUCUCACAGCGGGUUGUUUUAUGUCAUGGAUUCAGAUGAAAAAAAAGGUGGCCACUAUUGGACGAUAAAACUGGAAACUCAAACUAAAAUAUUCCAAGGAAUAUUUAGAAGGGACCAUGUAUCUAUGUUUCUGCAGAAAGAGGCGUUCUGGCUCCUAUAUAUGGGAUGAACACUUAAAAGGAGGACAUUUAUUUUGUUUUGGUGAUAUACAGAAAAUCCAUUGAAAUAUUCCAACGGGUCAUUUAUGUUGAAGAGUUUCCAAAGAAACCCAUUGUAAGACUUAACAAAUGCAUAUGUAUGCAUAUCAAAUAUAUGGUAUACAUACUCAUCUAGAAGAUAUAUUUUUCGUGCAUGAUACAUACAUGUAGCUUAAUUUUUUUCCUUUUAAAUAGUACAUCAAAUCAUGGAUUAAUUAAUAGAUUUAUUUGGCUCGUACUGAUUUGAGAUGGUUUUGCUCUCUUUCGUAUAGGAUCAGAACAAAAACAUAGAUUGAGAGCUCAAAAAAAUAUAGAUCAUAUACUACACAUACCAAUAUCACAAAAUGUGUGGCUGUGAUAUACGUAUUGUAAGCAUCAUUAAUCCUCUUUUAGUUUAGCCCCACUGCAACUAAUCAUAUGAUCCAUGCUCUCCAAACUUAUAUGAGCUCAUCAUCCAUGCAUCAUGCGAAAAGGUGUAAAGUAGUAAUAAGAAAUUAUCCUAGAAAUCAAACCUCUAGUCCAGUACAUGCAUGUAUAAAAUAGAACAGUAUGAAGCCAAUACCUACACACCUGGAGGAACGGGAUUGCCAAAGCGUGGAUCAGAAGUUCAUUCAGCCAUUAUACGUCCUCGGUGGGAUCUCAACUUGAUUAUCCUAUUCAUCGCCUAGGCUUUCGUCAGGUAAUCUGUAUUGACGUGCUCAGUGAGCUUCCUUUUUUUGUUACCGACCUUUUCCUAUUAUGUGAAAAGGAAAAAUUGUGGCAAACAGGUUACACACUUUCAACAUGAAUCAGAAGCAUACAACAUGAGUCUUCCCUUCAGUAUAUUUUCCAUUAUAUGAGAAUGGAAAUACAUGUAUGCAAGGUCAUAUUUUGUGCUUAACGAAAUAAUUGGAGACUCAACUUAUCUACUCACAAUGCAUGCCU
RNAcentral lists this long non-coding RNA (1433 nucleotides) under Triticum aestivum (bread wheat). RNAcentral describes it as "long non-coding RNA (TAES_LNC001356)". Lineage: Eukaryota; Viridiplantae; Streptophyta; Magnoliopsida; Poales; Poaceae. The record is from RNAcentral.